Molecule: ribosomal RNA, 301 nt
Filed under: uncultured bacterium
Lineage: Bacteria
Description: partial 16S ribosomal RNA
Rfam family: Bacterial small subunit ribosomal RNA
Source: RNAcentral
CAGUCGCCACGGUAAUACGUAGGGGGCGAGCGUUGUCCGAAGUUACUGGGCGUAAAGCGCGCGUAGGCGGCUUCUUAAGUCUGAGGUGAAAGGUUCAACGCUUAACGUGAACAGUGCCUUGGAUACUGGGGAGCUUGAGUAUGGGAGAGGGCAGUGGAAUGGCUGGUGUAGCGGUGAAAUGCGUAGAUACCAGUCGGAACACCCAUGGCGAAGGCAGCUGCCUGGCCUAAUACUGACGCUGAGGUGCGAAAGCGUGGGGAGCGAACGGGAUUAGAUACCCAGUAGUCCCUGUCUCUUAUAC